RNAcentral lists this ribosomal RNA (919 nucleotides) under uncultured bacterium. Its description in RNAcentral is "bacterial SSU rRNA". It matches the Rfam family "Bacterial small subunit ribosomal RNA", at positions 475 to 1400 of the family's 1533-position model. The record is from RNAcentral.
GUACCUGGAGAAAAAGCCACGGCUAACUACGUGCCAGCAGCCGCGGUAAUACGGAAGGUCCGGGCGUUAUCCGGAUUUAUUGGGUUUAAAGGGAGCGUAGGCCGCAGGUUAAGCGUGUUGUGAAAUGUAGGUGCUCAACAUCUGCACUGCAGCGCGAACUGGCUUGCUUGAGUACACACAAAGUGGGCGGAAUUCGUGGUGUAGCGGUGAAAUGCUUAGAUAUCACGAAGAACUCCGAUUGCGAAGGCAGCUCACUGGAGCGCAACUGACGCUGAAGCUCGAAAGUGCGGGUAUCGAACAGGAUUAGAUACCCUGGUAGUCCGCACGGUAAACGAUGGAUGCCCGCUGUUGGUCUGAAUAGGUCAGCGGCCAAGCGAAAGCAUUAAGCAUCCCACCUGGGGGAGUACGCCGGCAACGGUGAAACUCAAAGGAAUUGACGGGGGCCCGCACAAGCGGUGGAGUAUGUGGUUUAAUUCGAAGCAACGCGAAGAACCUUACUAGGGCUUGACAUCCCGGUGACCGUCUUAGAGAUAAGAUUUUCCCUUCGGGGACACCGGUGACAGGUGGUGCAUGGUUGUCGUCAGCUCGUGUCGUGAGAUGUUGGGUUAAGUCCCGCAACGAGCGCAACCCCUAUUGUUAGUUGCUACGCAAGAGCACUCUAGCGAGACUGCCGUUGACAAAACGGAGGAAGGCGGGGACGACGUCAAAUCAUCAUGCCCCUUAUGUCCUGGGCCACACACGUACUACAAUGGUGGUUAACAGAGGGAGGCAAAGCCGCGAGGCAGAGCAAACCCCUAAAAGCCAUCCCAGUUCGGAUCGCAGGCUGCAACCCGCCUGCGUGAAGUUGGAAUCGCUAGUAAUCGCGGAUCAGCAUGCCGCGGUGAAUACGUUCCCGGGCCUUGUACUCACCGCCCGUCAA